This 332-nucleotide ribosomal RNA is filed under the name uncultured bacterium. Its description in RNAcentral is "bacterial SSU rRNA". It matches the Rfam family "Bacterial small subunit ribosomal RNA", at positions 568 to 898 of the family's 1533-position model. The record is from RNAcentral.
CGCGUAGGUGGUAGUGCAAGUCUGGGGUGGAAUCCCAGGGCUUAACCCUGGAACUGCCUUGGAAACUGUAUUACUUGAGUCAGUGGAGGGGAGGGUAGAAUUCCUGGUGUAGCGGUGAAAUGCGUAGAUAUCAGGAGGAAGGCCUGUGGCGAAGGCGGCCCUCUGGCGCUGAACUGACACUGAGGCGCGAAAGCGUGGGUAGCAAACAGGAUUAGAUACCCUGGUAGUCCACGCCCUAAACGGUGGGUACUAGGUGUGGGGCUCGUAAGGGUUCUGUGCCGAAGCGAAAGCAUUAAGUACCCCGCCUGGGGAGUACGGCCGCGAAGGUUGAA